Long non-coding RNA from Nycticebus coucang (slow loris), 4412 nucleotides. RefSeq lists it as uncharacterized. The transcript is spliced from 3 exons. The record is from RefSeq and is a predicted model, not a curated record. NCBI's taxonomy places the organism in Eukaryota, Metazoa, Chordata, Mammalia, Primates, Lorisidae.
AGACUCUGGGGUUUGGGGGUGGGGGUGGGAGAUCAUAGUUCUCUGACUGGUAAGAUGGUAUUUCAGUGUUUAAAGCCCCAUCCCAUGUCCCAGCUGCAGGAAGGUCCUAGGGAAGGGAGUAGAGCUUGUGGGGUGGGGUGGGGACAUCACCAGAGGCCAUCUGGUUAUCCUCCCCUGACUGCAGGGAGAGGGCAGGGUUCCCACAGCCCUCUGGACGUGAGGCAGAUGGAUGCAGAGCCCAGGGCUGUAGGUGUUGGGUGGGGUCUGGGCAAGCGGGGCCCAGGGGCAGGCCCAGGGCGAGGUUGUGCUUUAAGCCUCUUCCCCAGCUAGGCCUUGCCCUGGGUUUUCCAUCUCAACAUAGCCUGAUCAGUAGCUGUCCUCAAACGAGUUGUCUGGGAGCUGCUGGCCGCCUCCUUCUUUUCCAGACACCCCAGGAGGCUGUGCCCGAGGCUGGCUUUGUCUCUGCUUUGCAGGCUCUGCUUUGUGGGGAGCCAACUCCCUGUAAGCAGAGCCUGAGGCAAGGAUCUGGAUGCAAGGCCUGGAGACGUCUCUGCCCACUUUGCCUUGGCGAGGAGUGGCCACUGGGCUCAUCCUUCUUCUGCUUCCCCUGGACAUGCCAAGGGGCCCAGGAACAUACCUGCCCUGUGAUGCAGUGACCACUGUGCUCCUCCUGCCUUUAAUUUUUAUUGAGGUGAAAUCCACACGACACACGAUUACCCGCUUUCGAGUGGUAAUUCAGUGAGGUCUAGCUCCAUCACCACGGGAAGACACGCCUGUUGCUGGUUUCCAAACCUUCCCUGCCCCCGAGGAGCGCCCCUGGUCAUUCAGCGAUCACUCCCUUCCCUCCCAGCCCGGGAACUGACCAGUCUCCUUUUUGUCUCUACGGACUCGCCUCUCCUGACAUUUCCUAUGAGUGGAGUCACCACACGGCUCCUCCCACUCAGCGCGUUUCUCAGGCCAGUGCUGUUGCUGCGAGUGUCAGAGCUACAUUCCGUGUAGCAGCCCGUAUAGCCUGUGGCUAGAGGGAGUAAGAGUUAUUUCUUUUUUUCUUUUGCAGUUUUGGCUGGGGUCGGGCUUGAACCUGCCACCCUCGGUAUAUGGGGCUGGUGCCCUACUCCUUGAGCCACAGACGCUGCCCAGGAGUGUAUAGCUCAAUAAUAGAACACCCUGGUGAAAAGGGCAUGGAGAGGGAUUUGGCUCUCCUAACAAGCACGAGAGAGCUCAUGAGAUGAGAGCAUUGGUGAAUUGUCAGUCUCUACACCUGUAGUUUCGAGAGGCACGAGAUCAGCCUUAUCUUAGGCUGGAGGAGAAGCAGUCGGGAGCGUGCGCAUUCUAUCAUGGAUCUGCUUACUCUGACUCUGUCACUUCUCCUGCUUGCAGAACGCCAGCACGGCGUCCUUCUGCUGAAGCUUACUAAACUCUGCUAAAGACUAAGAUCUAUCUUUCUAAGACUGGUUUACUCUCUCAAAGACUAUCUGUCUCUCUGCUAAGGUAAAUAGCCCUCAGGCACCUAAGAGCAACUGUUCCUUAGUGAGAUAACAGCAUAGCGGUCCAUGUCCAGAACACAGCUAGAUAGGCUGGGGCUGGAGACCAACCAGUCCCGGGCCCUGAUAAGUGGUGUCCACGAAGGGACCCCGACAAUUCCAUUGUAUGGAAGGACCAUGUUUUGUUUAUCCCUCACCUGCUGCAGGACGUUGGGGGUGUCCCCAGCUUCUGGCCAUUCCAUUCUGUAUCUCCCAGGAUGGUGCCCUGCUCCUCAGAGGGCUUUCCCAGGUCGACACUUUAACCAUAGACUUUCAGGAGACUUUCCGUGUUCCGUCUGCCUGGCGGGUUCCAGUCUUUCUGAUACUUUCUUCUCACCAGCAGGGCCCUUGGCUGGAGGCAACGUAUUUAGUGUCCCAUGUUGGCAAAUGAGAGCCUUGAAGAGCGUGGUGGGUGAGGCUGGCUGGUGGGCAGGGAAGGUGGACUCAUAUGCUGAGUGCUGACCUGCCCAAUGAAGCAAUUGCCUCUAGGUGGAAGGGUCAGUGGGUUCCAAUGGACUCAGCUUGUCCUGCAGAUGCUGGCUGGUCUCCUUGGGGGACACAGGCUCCCUGUGGAGGGGCCAAGUUUCUCUCUGCUGCCGCUGGCUCAGCAGUCAGUAGUGGUAGACCCAGAGCAGGCUGGGCGAGAGGAUGCCCGGGACAUGGGCUGGGCAGCCUUCAGCUCCACACUGCAUCACUCUCCUGUUCAAGCUCUGGGUGUGGGGAGCCAGGAUGGCCCUCACUGACCUGGCAUCUUGUCUUCCUGGCUGUCCUCACCCCCAGGCCCACCAGGAGGCCCCAAAUACUCUGUCGUCUGCACACCUUUUCCCAGACCCCCUUGUGUAGUACCCAGCAAAGAGACCCCCCAAAGGCCCCUGUUUCAGCCUGCGUCCCCGCAUGUCUCAACCCCCCCGCCCCAGGAAGUUCCCUGAGUUCUCAAAAACUCCUAGCCACAGGUAAAACAAUGGUAGAACUUACCCCAACCCCCCUAGCAAUGGCUAAACAAUGGUGGAAAGCUUACUCAAGCAAAAUUUCCCAAGUCAAGCUUGUCCUCAUGCCAGCUGCCAUGAUGCAACCCUCGAGCCAACCAGCCCCCCGACUGUAACCCCGCCCCGAGCUACCCCCUGAGCUAACCAACUGCCACGUUCUGCUUCUGUUUUUGCUUGGCUGUGGCAAGCCAAGCACAAACAUGGUAUAAAAGACAACCUGCUUUUCUCUUCAGGGCCGUUUGCCCUUCGGGGCAGCGACCCGCCUGCGCAGGUGUAGUAAAUCACCAUCUGAUUUAUACCUGAAGUGGGGUCCGAGUUUUUCUUCCAGGUCACAACAAUGAGCACCACACUUGGUGCCAGCUCUCUGAUCUUGCCCUUCCAGGCCCUGGCCACCACCUGCCAUUGCCCAGGGGUCAGCACAUCCCAAUCUCCAGUCACUCCUCCUCAACACAAAGUUGAUGACAAGGGUCCUGCUUGAGGCGUUAUCUUUCAGGGCCACCCCAGGAGAGUGGGGCUGUGAUGUGCAGGCAGCCACUGGGCAGUCAGGUGUAGGGUUCGUGGAGAUUCCACAUUAUGAGAAUAUGAAAUAUGCGUGGAAAAUAAAGGCUGAGAAGUCCUGCCUAAGAGUGUGUGUGGGACAGUCUCAGCCACUGCAGUGGUUUGGCCAUUUAUUGAAUGGUGUAAACCCACAGCUAUUUUUUUCUUAUUGGGCAAUGCUUUUGAAAUUUUGCAAUAAAUCCAUUCAGUAGCAACAAGCAGUAAAAAAAAAAGUCAUUGAAUUCUUAUUUUUAUUUUAUUUUUUUCUCAGUUGAAUUGGUGAUGAACUUCGAACUCACAUAAAGUGGAUGUUAACCAUCCCACAUGGGCUUCAGUAAGCUGGUGAGCGUGUGAGGGCUGUGGCCUCGGCUGUGCCACAUGGUGCUGGUCACUUUAGAAAGACUGGUAAGGAUCACAGAGGGGCUUUGACACAGAACACGGGAAGCCUGUCAUCCCGCCCACAUGAAGGGCCUGUUCUCCCAAGUUCGUUUUGCUUCCUUUUAUUACAUAUCUCCUGUGCAUGGCUUGCCACACCACUAAACAGGCGUGUUUAGAUCGGCUGCCAGCAGGGGUCAGUUAAAUUAGUGCCAAUGGGGCUGAGAUUUUCCCCUCCAGUUUCUGGAAUCCAGGUAAGGCAUCUGGAAGUGCAUUUAUCACACGUGAACCACCUGUCAGUGCUGCUGUGAGUUUGGUAAGAAGAUGUCAACACUGACGCUUUGUUUGUUGAGGACCACGGUGCCAUGGUAAGAAUCACAGUGUCUGACUCAGGGUGGAAGCCCGUGGCCGGGAGCCGGCGGAAGUGCACAAGACUCCUAAUUGGAAUUAAACAAGCUUCACAUUCAACCAACAGAAGUAGCAAGUGUGGUUGUCAAAAGAUACGCCUACUCUUCAUCCACGGGAGUUCUGUUUUUGUCAGAGGUGAAGGCGAUGUGUAAUUAGAGAAGAGAAGCCUCAGGGUGGACACACACUGCUUGCCACCUGUCAGCCAGAGUUUAGAAACGUGGGCACCACUGAAGAAUCACCUUAUCGUUCAAUCUAAGUGUGCUAUGAGCAUCUUUGAGAAGGAGUCUCAAAACUUGGAUGCAUUUUAUUUAAAAUCAUUUAGAGGUUUUUAAUGAAGUUAUUUGGCAGAGUAUCAAGGCACUUUGAGGUUUUGAAUCUUUUUCUGUGAAGGCAAAUGCACCAAAAGUCAGCCCUGUGGAUGUGAGGAGGAAACACAACAAAUUUAACUGCAGAGUCCCAGGGUGCAAGGGCGACUUUCAAAACUGUAUAAUUGUGCUUUGGAAAAUCUUUACUUAUGGGAAGAAUAUUUUGUUGGUCCUUUCUGUUAAGUGGAUAAAUUUACAUUCUGAAAUUAAAUGGAACA